This 1815-nucleotide ribosomal RNA is filed under the name metagenome. RNAcentral describes it as "bacterial LSU rRNA". It matches the Rfam family "Bacterial large subunit ribosomal RNA", at positions 1 to 2005 of the family's 2925-position model. The record is from RNAcentral.
UCAAGUGUCUAUAAGAGCAUUUAGUGGAUGCCUUGGCACAGAGAGGCGAUGAAGGACGUGAUACACUGCGAUAAGCCAUGGGGAGUUGUGAAUAAGCUUUGAUCCGUGGAUUUCCGAAUGGGGAAACCCAAACCAAUAGGUUUAUCCCGCAAGGGAGGCAAACCCAGUGAACUGAAAUAUCUAAGUAACUGGAGGAAAGGACAUCAACCGAGACUCCGUUAGUAGUGACGAGCGAAAGCGGACCAGGCCAGUGGCUGUUUUAGGAAAAACCAGAAUAACUUGGGAAAGUUAGCCAUAGUGGGUGAUAGCCCCGUAUGGGUAAAUUCCUUUUACAGUCCUCGAGUAGGGCGGGACACGUGAAAUCCUGCUUGAACAUGGGGGGACCACCCUCCAAGCCUAAGUACUACUCUGUGACCGAUAGUGAACAAGUACCGUGAGGGAAAGGUGAAAAGAACCCCGAUGAGGGGAGUGAAACAGACCUGAAACUGAAUGCUUACAAGCAGUUGGAGCAACAUUAAGUUGUGACAGCGUACCUUUUGUAUAAUGGGUCAGCGAGUUAAUUUAUUGAGCAAGCUUAAGCCGUUAGGUGUAGGCGAAGCGAAAGCAAGUCUGAAUAGGGCGUUUAGUUCAAUGGAUUAGACCCGAAACCGGGUGAUCUAGCUAUGAGCAGGUUGAAGGUAAGGUAACACUUACUGGAGGACCGAACCCACGCAUGUUGAAAAAUGCGGGGAUGACUUGUNGCUAGGGGUGAAAGGCCAAUCAAACCCGGAGAUAGCUGGUUCUCCGCGAAAACUAUUUAGGUAGUGCGUUAUGUAUUACUNNUGGGGGUAGAGCACUAGAUGGGCUAGGGGGGCGCGAGCCUUACCAAACCUAACUAAACUCCGAAUACCANUAAGUANAGCAUAGCAGACAGUCCAUGGGUGCUAAGGUCCUUGGACGAGAGGGAAAGAGCCCAGACCACCAGCUAAGGUCCCUAAAUUGUGGCUAAGUGGGAAAGGAUGUGGAAAGACCAAGACAGCCAGGAGGUUGGCUUAGAAGCAGCCAUCCUUUAAAGAAAGCGUAACAGCUCACUGGUCUAAAUAAGCCGGUCUGCGCCGAAGAUGUAACGGGGCUAAAGCCAUAUACCGAAGCUGUGGAUGCCGUAAGGCAUGGUAGCGGAGCGUUCUGUANANCCGUUGAAGGNAANANGNGANUNUUGNUGGAGNUAUCAGAAGUGAGAAUGCUGACAUGAGUAGCGAUAAAGAGUGUGAGAAACACUCUCGCCGNAAGCCUAAGGGUUCCUGCGCAAGGUUAAUCCGCGCAGGGUUAGUCGGCCCCUAAGAUGAGGGCGAAAGCCGUAGUCGAUGGGAAUACGGUAAAUAUUCCGUAACCUGAUGGAAGUGACGAAUNNUNAAGAUUGUAAANNCUUAUUGGAUUGNNUUUGCAGUUAANNUGUUCCAGGAAAUAGCUCCAUCANNAAGACCGUACCCGAAACCGACACAGGUAGGCAGGUAGAGAAUACCAAGGCGCUUGAGAGAAUGGUGUUGAAGGAACUCGGCAAAAUGCCCCNGUAACUUNGGGAGAAGGGGGACCUAUGCUGGGCAACCAGUGCUAGGUGGCACAAANNNGGGGGUAGCGACUGUUUAUUAAAAACACAGGACUCUGCUAAGUGGUAACACGANGUAUAGGGUCUGACGCCUGCCCGGUGCCGGAAGGUUAAGAGGAGGUGUGCAAGCGCCGAAUUGAAGCCCCGGUAAACGGCGGCCGUAACUAUAACGGUCCUAAGGUAGCGAAAUUCCUUGUCGGGUAAGUUCCGACCUGCACGAAUGGCGUAAC